CCGGAGCUUGCUCCACCGAAAGAAAAGGAGUGGCGAACGGGUGAGUAACACGUGGGUAACCUGCCCAUCAGAAGGGGAUAACACUUGGAAACAGGUGCUAAUACCGUAUAACAAUCGAAACCGCAUGGUUUCGGUUUGAAAGGCGCUUUUGCGUCACUGAUGGAUGGACCCGCGGUGCAUUAGCUAGUUGGUGAGGUAACGGCUCACCAAGGCAACGAUGCAUAGCCGACCUGAGAGGGUGAUCGGCCACAUUGGGACUGAGACACGGCCCAAACUCCUACGGGAGGCAGCAGUAGGGAAUCUUCGGCAAUGGACGCAAGUCUGACCGAGCAACGCCGCGUGAGUGAAGAAGGUUUUCGGAUCGUAAAACUCUGUUGUUAGAGAAGAACAAGGAUGAGAGUAGAAUGUUCAUCCCUUGACGGUAUCUAACCAGAAAGCCACGGCUAACUACGUGCCAGCAGCCGCGGUAAUACGUAGGUGGCAAGCGUUGUCCGGAUUUAUUGGGCGUAAAGCGAGCGCAGGCGGUUUCUUAAGUCUGAUGUGAAAGCCCCCGGCUCAACCGGGGAGGGUCAUUGGAAACUGGGAAACUUGAGUGCAGAAGAGGAGAGUGGAAUUCCAUGUGUAGCGGUGAAAUGCGUAGAUAUAUGGAGGAACACCAGUGGCGAAGGCGGCUCUCUGGUCUGUAACUGACGCUGAGGCUCGAAAGCGUGGGGAGCAAACAGGAUUAGAUACCCUGGUAGUCCACGCCGUAAACGAUGAGUGCUAAGUGUUGGAGGGUUUCCGCCCUUCAGUGCUGCAGCUAACGCAUUAAGCACUCCGCCUGGGGAGUACGACCGCAAGGUUGAAACUCAAAGGAAUUGACGGGGGCCCGCACAAGCGGUGGAGCAUGUGGUUUAAUU
Molecule: ribosomal RNA, 899 nt
Filed under: Enterococcus avium
Lineage: Bacteria; Bacillati; Bacillota; Bacilli; Lactobacillales; Enterococcaceae
Description: bacterial SSU rRNA
Rfam family: Bacterial small subunit ribosomal RNA
Source: RNAcentral